RNAcentral lists this ribosomal RNA (704 nucleotides) under Shigella sp. Its description in RNAcentral is "bacterial SSU rRNA". It matches the Rfam family "Bacterial small subunit ribosomal RNA", at positions 28 to 721 of the family's 1533-position model. Lineage: Bacteria; Pseudomonadati; Pseudomonadota; Gammaproteobacteria; Enterobacterales; Enterobacteriaceae. The record is from RNAcentral.
AUUGAACGCUGGCGGCAGGCUUAACACAUGCAAGUCGAACGGUAACAGGAAGAAGCUUGUUUCUUUGCUGACGAGUGGCGGACGGGUGAGUAAUGUCUGGGAAACUGCCUGAUGGAGGGGGAUAACUACUGGAAACGGUAGCUAAUACCGCAUAACGUCGCAAGACCAAAGAGGGGGACCUUCGGGCCUCUUGCCAUCGGAUGUGCCCAGAUGGGAUUAGCUAGUAGGUGGGGUAACGGCUCACCUAGGCGACGAUCCCUAGCUGGUCUGAGAGGAUGACCAGCCACACUGGAACUGAGACACGGUCCAGACUCCUACGGGAGGCAGCAGUGGGGAAUAUUGCACAAUGGGCGCAAGCCUGAUGCAGCCAUGCCGCGUGUAUGAAGAAGGCCUUCGGGUUGUAAAGUACUUUCAGCGGGGAGGAAGGGAGUAAAGUUAAUACCUUUGCUCAUUGACGUUACCCGCAGAAGAAGCACCGGCUAACUCCGUGCCAGCAGCCGCGGUAAUACGGAGGGUGCAAGCGUUAAUCGGAAUUACUGGGCGUAAAGCGCACGCAGGCGGUUUGUUAAGUCAGAUGUGAAAUCCCCGGGCUCAACCUGGGAACUGCAUCUGAUACUGGCAAGCUUGAGUCUCGUAGAGGGGGGUAGAAUUCCAGGUGUAGCGGUGAAAUGCGUAGAGAUCUGGAGGAAUACCGGUGGCGAAGG